This 293-nucleotide ribosomal RNA is filed under the name uncultured bacterium. RNAcentral's name for it is "partial 16S ribosomal RNA". It matches the Rfam family "Bacterial small subunit ribosomal RNA", at positions 505 to 796 of the family's 1533-position model. The record is from RNAcentral.
GUGUCAGCCGCCGCGGUAAUACGGGGGGAGCAAGCGUUGUUCGGAUUUACUGGGCGUAAAGGGCGCGUAGGCGGCCACGACAAGUCAGUUGUGAAAUCUCUGGGCUUAACUCAGAGCGGUCAACUGAUACUGUCGGGCUAGAGUGCAGAAGGGGCAACUGGAAUUCUCGGUGUAGCGGUGAAAUGCGUAGAUAUCGAGAGGAACACCUGCGGCGAAGGCGGGUUGCUGGGCUGACACUGACGCUGAGGCGCGAAAGCUAGGGGAGCGAACGGGAUUAGAAACCCCCGUAGUCC